UCGGCAAGAUUGGAUUUGAACCAAUAACCUUAGUCUUAUCAAGACUAAGCUUUUCCUAUUAAGCUACAUGCCG
Molecule: transfer RNA, 73 nt
Filed under: Aplysina gerardogreeni
Lineage: Eukaryota; Metazoa; Porifera; Demospongiae; Verongiida; Aplysinidae
Description: tRNA-Ile
Source: RNAcentral